UACCAGGCUAGGUGAUCCUUCCUCAGAUA
Molecule: non-coding RNA, 29 nt
Filed under: Mus musculus (house mouse)
Lineage: Eukaryota; Metazoa; Chordata; Mammalia; Rodentia; Muridae
Source: RNAcentral